AUAACAUUAGUUUUGAUUUUAUGUUUUUCAUUUAAAUUUUAUUGCAUAAUUUAAAUAACAUAUUUUUCUAAUAGUUAAAUACGCCAUUAAACAUAAAAUUUAAAAACACCUAAAAGAUAAAAAAAAUUACAUAAAAAUUAAAAACACCUAAAACAUCAUAUUACCCCAUCAUUAAAAUUACAUAAUUAAAAUCCUAGUCUAGACCACGACGCCUGAGCACAUCGGCGACCAUGGACGCGUGCAAUGCCCUUUGUGCGUCCGUCAUGUGCGUCGUAUCCGCGUUCAGAAGCUGCAUAUCGAGCUCCCUC
RNAcentral lists this long non-coding RNA (308 nucleotides) under Salvia miltiorrhiza (redroot sage). RNAcentral's name for it is "long non-coding RNA (SMIL_LNC013445)". The record is from RNAcentral. Lineage: Eukaryota; Viridiplantae; Streptophyta; Magnoliopsida; Lamiales; Lamiaceae.